This 460-nucleotide ribosomal RNA is filed under the name uncultured bacterium. RNAcentral describes it as "partial 16S ribosomal RNA". It matches the Rfam family "Bacterial small subunit ribosomal RNA", at positions 338 to 795 of the family's 1533-position model. The record is from RNAcentral.
CCUACGGGUGGCAGCAGUGAGGAAUAUUGGUCAAUGGACGCAAGUCUGAACCAGCCAUGCCGCGUGCAGGAAGACGGCUCUAUGAGUUGUAAACUGCUUUUGUACGAGGGUAAACGCAGAUACGCGUAUCUGUCUGAAAGUAUCGUACGAAUAAGGAUCGGCUAACUCCGUGCCAGCAGCCGCGGUAAUACGGAGGAUUCAAGCGUUAUCCGGAUUUAUUGGGUUUAAAGGGUGCGUAGGCGGUCGGAUAAGUUAGGGGUGAAAUCCCGAGGCUCAACUUCGGAAUUGCCUCUGAUACUGUUAGGCUAGAGAGUAGUAGCGGUAGGCGGAAUGUAUUGUGUAGCGGUGAAAUGCUUAGAGAUAAUACAGAACACCGAUUGCGAAGGCAGCUUACCAAGCUACUUCUGACGUUGAGGCACGAAAGCGUGGGGAGCAAACAGGAUUAGAUACCCUAGUAGUC